Molecule: ribosomal RNA, 447 nt
Filed under: uncultured bacterium
Lineage: Bacteria
Description: bacterial SSU rRNA
Rfam family: Bacterial small subunit ribosomal RNA
Source: RNAcentral
UGGGGAAUAUUGGACAAUGGGCGAAAGCCUGAUCCAGCCAUGCCGCGUGAGUGACGAAGGCCUUAGGGUUGUAAAACUCUUUCGUCGGGGACGAUAAUGACGGUACCCGAAGAAGAAGCUCCGGCUAACUUCGUGCCAGCAGCCGCGGUAAUACGAAGGGAGCUAGCGUUGUUCGGAAUCACUGGGCGUAAAGCGCACGUAGGCGGAUAGUUAAGUCAGGGGUGAAAUCCUGGGGCUCAACCCCAGAACUGCCUUUGAUACUGGCUGUCUCGAGGUCGAGAGAGGUUGGUGGAAUUCCUAGUGUAGAGGUGAAAUUCGUAGAUAUUAGGAAGAACACCAGUGGCGAAGGCGGCUCACUGGAUCGGUACUGACGCUGAGGUGCGAAAGCGUGGGGAGCAAACAGGAUUAGAUACCCUUGUAGUCCCUGAGCGGGCUGGCAAGGCGCAU